Molecule: non-coding RNA, 29533 nt
Organism: Pelobates cultripes (western spadefoot toad)
Lineage: Eukaryota; Metazoa; Chordata; Amphibia; Anura; Pelobatidae
Source: the annotation of a GenBank genome assembly
GCGCCGUGGUGUGUAUGGUUUUGCGCAUGUGUAGUAAUGAAAAGGUCCGCUUGUAUUCGGAUUACCCAGUAUGAGUGACAACUGUAAUAAAGCCGGGAGAGGCGGUAGGUUUGUGAGUUAUUGGCAUUAGAAGUAAUAUUCAAUGAUAGAGCAUUCUGUAGUUACCAUGAGUAUUGUCUUACAUUCCUUGGAACUCUCACCAAACUCAUUCACAUUAGGGCAGUAGGACAUGCCUGAUGCUAGCUCUGUAUAUGUAUUGACUAAAUGGUAUGUUAAAGGAUGCACUCAUUAUUGUGUGUCAUUAAUUUAUCAUUCAAAUAGAGGGUCAAUAUAUAAUCAAAUAUGUAGGUAAGAGAUUAUUUUAAAAUGGACAUUUGUGAUGCUCGAAUUGGUUGCAUGUCUUGUUGAAGGUGCAGUGCGGUAAUGAGCUUAGAUGUUAUUACACAGCUGGUGGUCCAUGGCUUGGAACAUUUUUGUUGAUGGUACAUGGUGAUUAUCAGUACUGGAGCACUGUGAGUUUUGACCAUUUGUCAGCAGAGACACAGCUUAUGCUAGAAUGAUAAAAUAGGAGUUGUUCUCAUUGCAGGCCAUUAACCCCUUAAGGACCAAACUUCUGGAAUAAAAGGGAAUCAUGACAUGUCACACAUGUCAUGUGUCCUUAAGGGGUUAAAGGAACACUAUAGGGUUAUUAGGUGUGUGUGUUCCCCCUACCCCUCCCGCUGGGCUGAAUGGGUUAAAACCCCUUUAGCCACUUACCUUAAAGGAACACUAUAGUCACCUAAACAACGUAAGCUUAACCCCUUAAGGACCAAACUUCUGAAAUAAAAGGGAACCAUGACAUGUCACACAUGUCAUGUGUCCUUAAGGGGUUAAAGGACCACUAUAGGCACCCAGACCACUUCAGCUCAAUGAAGUGGUCUGGGUGCCAGGUCUAUCUAGGGUUAACCCUGCAGCUGUAAACAUAGCAGUUUCAGAGAAACUGCUAUGUUUACAAUAGGGUUUACCCAGCCUCUAGUGGCUCUCAUUGACAGCUGCUAGAGGCGCUUCCACGCUUCUAACUGGGAAAAUCACAGCGAGAAGAUGCUGAGGUCUAUAGGAAAGCAUUGAGAAAUGCUUUCCUAUGGACUGAUUGAAUGCGCGCGACUCUUGCUGCGCAUGCGCAUUUGGCGGAUGACGUCGGAAGAGCGAGGAGAGUCCCCAGUGCCGAGGGAGCCUGGCACUGGAGAAAGGUAAGGUUUUAACCCUCUUCCUCCCCCUUCAGCCCGGCGGGAGUAGGACCCUGAGGGUGGGGGCGACCUAAAGACCCCAUAGUGCCAGGAAAACGAGUUUGUUUUCCUGGCACUAUAGUGGUCCUUUGAUGAAGCAGUUUUAGUGUAUAGAUCAUGCUUCCCAGGUUUCACUGCUCAAUUCACUGCCAUUUAGGAGUUAAAUCACUUUGUUUCUGUUUAUGCAGCCCUUGUCAUUGAGACUGCAGGGACAUGAUCUAUACACCAAAACUGUUUCAUUAAGCUAAAGUCGUUUUGGGGACUAUAGUGUCCCUUUAAUCCAGCGCUGGUGACUUCUCCUCCCCCUGCCGAUGUCCGCUCCCAAGUGGAGCCGAAUGUGCAUGUGUGGUCAGAUCUGCGCGUGCAUUCAAACCGCCCAUAGGAAAGCAUUACUCAAUGCUUUCCUAUGGGGAUCUGAACUCCUGCUGUGAGUUCAAUGCGAUUUUCACACCCGAGAAUCGCGUAGACGCCUCUAGUGGCCCUCAGGAAGACAGACACUAGAGGCUGGAUUAACUCUAAUGUAAACAUAGCAGUUUCGCUGAAACUGCUAUGUUUACAGCUGCAGGGUUAAAACUAGGGGGAUAUGGCACCCAGACCACUUCAUUGAACUGAAGUGGUCUGGGUGACUAUAGUGGUCCUGUAGGCUGCAUUGAGUAAGCAAACAAUCUUUAACUUUGGGUUAAGAGCAUGAAUGCAUUGUAUAUUAUGGAAAGUGUGGGGACAUGUAGCAGACUGGGAAGGACACUGUAACGUAUACCGGUUUCAUUUUACUAUAAAAUAAGUUAUCUGGGGAUGGCAAGAGUAAGGAGAGAGCCAGUACCUUGGCUAGUUAGUGAAGUAACAGCCAGAAUAUUUUGGGGAACUAGGGAGUGAAAGAAAAUACCUGAAACCUUAGGGCUUGAAAAUCUUUUUGAGAAGGUGGAGGAGGCAGCAAAAAGCUCUGCAAUAAAUUUAAUUUGUUCUUUGUCCUCAGAACGGUUAUACCCUACAUGUUCUUUCAGAAAAAAUGACAAGAUAUGAAAUGAGUUUUGAUUGGGUCUCAACAAGUCCGGGAUGAUGCAACGAAUCAAUAAAAACGUGAUUUUGGCCGUCCUGACAGCUGCAAGCUCUUUGUUUCUUCUAUUCCAACUUUAUUACUUCAAGUAUUAUAUAUCGACAAAGGUAAGAUUCAUUUAUACAUGGUUAUCUACAAUCCUCAGUUAAAUGUAUUAUUCAGCUAGAAAGCAAUUGCAGAUAAUCAAAUCCAUAGUGUAAGCUGAUCCUGAAUGUAACCUCUGUUGAAAAGACUAAGAAUCAUUCUACCCAAAAAUGUGAAACGGGCAGUAGAAAGGUUAUCAUGAAGCAAUUUUUUUUUUAUUGUUUAUUAUGUACUGCACGGAGGAACGACCACCCAACACCCGGAGAAAAUCGCAAAGGAAUUUAUCAAUUACUACUCGUCCUUAUAGGAUAGAAUGCAUUAAACGGGACCACAUAGAACACUUCCUACGAGAACACCUCCCCACAACCGUGACAGCUGCAGACGCAGAAACGCUCGACCUACCGAUCACUGAAGAGGUAAUACGAGCAGCCAUCAUAACAACAAAAACAGGUCGUGGCUCCAGGAUAUCCUGAUCCCCAAGCUCACAAAAGCCCUGAUGCCAACACUAGUGCACCCCAACUAAACGGGAUUCAUACCGGAAAGAAAGGCCCAAGAUAGCACCCUAAGGGCCCUCGACAUACAAUACCUAGUGAGACGAAGCAAAUCACCACUCCUCUUGCUCUCCACAGACGCUGAAAAGGCGUUCGACCAAGUAGAUUGGACGUUUUUUAAAAUGGUAUUACACCUGCUGGGAUUCACCACAGCCAUACUGAGCUGGAUCGAAGCACUAUACAGCAACAGGACGGAGUCCUUUCCGAUCCAAAAUGGCACUAGACAAGGGUGUCCCCUAUCCCCACUACUGUUCGCGCUAAGGUUAGAACCCCUGCUAGAAGCAAUAAGACGAAACAUCAAUAUGGAAAGCCACCACACACAAGGUUGCCGCAUACGCGGAUGACAUGUUAUUCUUCAUCACACAACCAAGAAUCGCCCUGCCUAAUGAAAGAACUCUAAGACUACGGACACCUGUCGGGCCUCAAACUCAACCUAAGCAAAUGCGAACUCCUCAAUGUAAACGACCCGAUGAGAGAACACAAAGCUAUAGUCUCGACCUUCCCGUUCCGGUGGUGUCAGUCCCGAAUGAGAUACCUAUGGAUUUGGAUGACAGCGGAUCCAAGCUCCCUCUAUCAAACAAACCUUAUCCCUCUCCUCACUCGAAUUCAGCAAGACUUACGGACCUGGAACUACCCACACAUUUCCUGGCUAGGCCGCAUAGCGGUGAUCAAAAUGAAUAUAUUACCCAUAAUAUUAUACCUAUUCCACACGAUCCCCCUAUCAAUACCGACGGCAUUCUUCGCUUCUCUGAAAGCUACAUUCCUGACCUACAUAUGGAGAGGACACAGACCACGACUGCGAUAUGAACUCUUCUGCCAGAAGAGAAGAAACGGAGGAUUAGCACUCCCAGACCUACGGAAAUACUAUCAUGCAACAGCCCUACAACGGAUCCUAGAAUGGCACACUAACAUACGACACAAACAAUGGGUGGUCUUGGAUACAGACUAGUCCAUUGGCCCAUCCAUCUUCACCUCAGUAUGGAACACGAAAACGACAACGCAGGACGAUCUAAACAAACUCUCCCCGGCAAGUCAAACUCUUCAGACAUGGUCGACAAUGCGGAAAACAACAACCAUUCCCCCCACACCCAGCCCAAUGACCACUCUAACGAACAACCAACUAAUAGGGGGAGAGCUACCAGCAAGGGCUUGGAACUUUCUGGGGGGAGAGGACUUCAUCUCACUUCACAAAACACUGACCGCCACCGGACUGGUGCCCCUAGAACAAAUGGUAUAAGGCACACCGACUCCCAUGCAAAGAUACCGAUAUACACAACUGACACAUUUCUAUCACGCACUACCAGAUAAAGCCACAGUGCAUAGAACCCUCACGUGGUUCAAAGAGGUAUGCGACAAAAAAACAACUAUCCAGAAACCAACCUCAACCCUCUACCAAUAUCUGAUCACAAACAACCAAAUGACAGUACUGCCAUACAAGAGAAAACGUGAAAACCUCACAGACAGGGCAUUCACAGACGCACAGUGGGACAAAAUUCUAAUCCUCCACUACAAAUCCUCAAUCAGCUUGUCAUACCAAGAAAUGAAUUACAAAUUACUAACGUUCUGGUACAGAACCCCGGACCUCCUACACAAAAUAUUCCCCAAUACCCCGGCGACGUGCUGGAGAUGCGAGAUGGACAUGGGCACAGUAAAACACAUCUGGUGGGAAUGCACCAAAAUCAAACCAUUCUGGAACUAGAUUAUAGCUCGCAUCAGGGACGUCCUAGGAGACGCGACGCAGCUGUCCAUGGAAAACCUGCUCCUCCACCACACACGAGACCCGAUCUCGAAAUACAAAAGCUCUAUCCUACGCCACCUCCUUGACGUAGCCAAGGUAUUAAUCCCUACUCUCUGGAAACAAACACAAACCCCCACGAUGGAACAAUGGCUAACCAGAGUGGAAGACAUCAGAGCCGCAGAAGAAAUGCACACAACACUGACGGACACUCUCUCAAAACACGUAGACAAAUGACAACCCUGGAUACUAUACGUGGCAAGAUGGGACCCGGGGCACGGCCAGCGGGGAUGGAGACUAGUGGGAGGAUCCACCCUCCCCGCACCAUACCUUCCCUGCGCAUCCACUCCUCCCUCACCCUACCUCAUCACAUUCAACCUUCUACACCACACACCAACUAUAACAAACAACCAAAUCAUACAUAGUUACAAUAUUUUAAAACACACACCCGUACGGACACACGAUUAAUGCCACACAAUCACAAUCAGUCUGACACGCCUAAUGAAGAACCCCACACAACACUGGAACGAUCACCCCUCGGGAAAUAACCAUACACUCAAUAGGACCACUCCAAGCCCACGACUCAGACGACGAGCAUAACAAACACACUGAACUUGGAGACCAAACCUACAGAUUCACCUCCAACAAUAACAAAACCUGCAAUUCAACUGGACAUCUAAGGGACCAACACAUAACGCGAAGAAAAAGACUACAACCCAUAGAAAAAGAUAACAGAGCAAGAUAACACACACCUGAGCAAUGGCCACGCACAUACCACAUAAAGAGAACACCACACAAGCACACCAACCACCAAUCACCACCUCCAAACACCCCAUUGUGAGGGGAUACAAUUGACCCAAACACGUUAAAACAAGCCUAGAAAGACCCACGAACCCUAACAGAACACCCUCAAGACACCAACUAUACCAACCUGAACAGAGAUACAUGCGCCCCACAUUCUGAAGACCCAUAUGUCCAAUGGGCACGUGACAUAAACCAAUAACUAUACCCUAUCCCCCCACUACAACCACCCCCACCCUUAGGCACAUACAUCAUAUCAACAACUGAGGCAAAAGAAAACCAACAAACUGAGGACAUGAUUACCCCCAAUACACCUCCAAAUCCACCACAUAUCACACAGAAAGAGUAACAAUCCCACAAACUCAUGGCGGACUACAAGCUCUAAUAUCGGAAAUGUCUAAGGAAUCUAUGUUAAUGCUUUACCGAAAUACGUAACAAAAAAGAAAUAAAAACCAUACCUACUUUUAUAAUGCACUCCGUAAUAAAAUAAUAGAGACCCACACAGACAGAAACUAACCACACCUAUAUGAACUGCUAGGGACACCACCCCGCCUAAUUAGGCCGACCCACACACCCAGAAGUCUGAAUCUUACCAUCAACAGAGAUUAACAAAGCGGUACUCAGAAAGGACAUGUUUCACUCAAAUGGACCUGCGAGUCCAUCAAAUACAAUAUAUCAUUCCUAAUUGUUUAUACCAUUCGUGGAGGCCUGCGAGCCUCGCUGUUUAAAAUGUCCAACUGUUACAUACUAAUGCUGUCAUGAACAACACCACCAAAAAGUAAUAAAAAUUACAUUUACUUAAAAAAUGGGUAAACAAUACCCACUUGCCGUGUGUGUGUAUGUGUAUAUAUGUGUGUAUAUAUAUAUAUAUAUCUCUCUAUCUCUCUCAUGGACCCUUUUAUCCCUUCUAGUAUUUGCACUCUGGAGCUGCUUGGAUAUAUCAUUCUGAUAGAUCACCAUUUAUAGGGGAGAGCCAUGCAAGAGAGACAAAUCCUGCAAGUGGUUCCUAUUCCCCUUGGCAUAAGGAGACCAAUAAAAGAGGUCUUCAAAUUUAAGGUCCAAAUAGCUAAACUGAAAAAAAAAAUCUAAGUCCGAUAUAUUUCCAGUAAGACUAUGGCCUUAAAUUUGAAAUUCACUUUGCAUUCUCAUCAAUUCCCAUUUUAGUGAAUAACCCUGCCACUGUAUGUGACACUUUCACCUAACCCAAAAUAUUUAUUAUCUGAUAAAAUUUCGGUACAGAAGGAUUAAAGGACCACUCUAGGCACCCAGACCACUUCAGCAUAAUGAAGUGGUCUAGGUGCCAGGUCCAGCUAGGAUUAACCCAUUCUUUUAUAAACAUAGCAGUUUCAGAGAAACUGCUAUGUUUAUGAAUGGGUUAAGCCUUCCCCCAAAGCCUCUAGCGGCUGUCUCAUUGACAACCGCUAGAGGCGCUUGCGUGCUUCUCACUGUGAUUUUCACAGUGAGAGCACGCCAGCGUCCAUAGGAAAGCAUUAUGAAUGCUUUCCUAUGCGACCGGCUGAAUGCGCGCGCAGCUCUUGCCGCGCGUGCGCAUUCAGCCGACGGGGAGGAACGGAGGAGGAGAACUCCUUGCCCAGCGCUGGAAAAAGGUAAGUUUUUACCCCUUUCCCCUUUCCAGAGCCGGGCGGGAGGGGGUUCCUGAGGGUGGGGGCACCCUCAGGGCACUAUAGUGCCAGGAAAACAAGUGUUUUCCUGGCACUAUAGUGGUCCUUUAAGAUGGAAGCUGGUAGCAUAUUAUUCAGACAUUGGUUUCAUACUAAUAGAAUGUUUGUUCAGAUUGGCUCUUGCCUUUGGAAUUAUACAGAUAUAAUAUUUAUUGGAAACCUAAUUCUUUCAGCUUGUUUGUUCCUGUGUUAGUUUUUUAGAAGCGUUUCCCUUUGUGUUUCCUAGAAUGGUCCAGCAUAUUCAAAAUUAAAAGGAAGUUUCUCAUCUCAAGAAAGUGCACAAUGGGUAAGUGCAAUCAUAAUUUGCAUUUAUUUUUGUUUAUUUUAAUUCCAGAGUAUAUGCAUUGCCUUUUUACCCAUGCAUGCACUACUGCGAAGAUUUAAAAUAGAGAAUGUUGGGCUCUGAUACACCCCGAGUGAUGUAUUCUUCAACCAGGAAAUUACUAAGACCUUAGUUAAUCAAUCUCGAACCUCGUUAGUCAGUUCUUGUCCUAUUAUAACUUGCCACGUUAAAGUUCUGAACACAUGCUUGUGUUUGUCAUCAUGUGAAUGUGCGGUCAGUAAGUUUCACAGUAAAGGAAAUAGGGAAAAGUAUGUGUGCAUGUGUUUCAAAUCCAGACUGUGGUUUUACAAAUCUCUUAAGGUGAUAAAGUUGUUUGUGCAUUUUGAGAGUAUGGGCUCUUCACUUAAAGUAGAUACUAUAACCAUUUAAUCUCAUUGUAAGUGGUUAAUACAGUGUUAAAUUAGUUUAAUAUUAAACUAGUGUCCCAGGCUCACCCCCCACUGGAGAUAUGGCCAAGGCAAAUUUUAUACACUUCCUCUAGCCAUGCAAAUUCAUACAUACAAUGGUUGCCGUCAAUUGACACUCUCAGCCAAUCACAGUCUCCUUUUGCUGCUCAGAUAAUGCUUCCUUAUAAUCACACUAUGGAAAUGAUCUGCUGGGGACUCUAGCAAUAAAACCUUAAAAAUGGUUUCAUGUUAAAUGGAAGGAUGAUGUCAGUGGGCUCUAGACACUAUAAGCAUUUCAUUCAUGAGAUGAAUCGGUUAAAGCGCCUACAGUGUCACUUUUCAAGGAUGAAGUAUUCCUGGUAGUUAUGGAUGUCCACACUGGCAGACUUGCGUUUUUAAAUGCAAUCUACAGUUACUGAUUAGUGCAGAUCUACAUCAGCCAUUAGUAGACCCCAACAGACUUACUUUGCCACUAAUGCAGCAGUGUUUAAUGGUGUGUGGAAAACAAACAGUGGGUAUACAGUAAUCGUUUUUUCUUUUCUCAAACAGCGAGUGGUUAAGAACUUUCUUGGCCUGGUUUCCAGUCACAAUGUCCCAGUCUAUCUUGUUGAUGCUCUUGUUUUGAAUCUACUUGACAAGGACUUGGAACAGCUAAGAAGCUCACCUGACAGUGCUCCCAGUGAAUGCCAGUAUUUCUGCAAGCAUAGAGAUGUCACCACCUUUGCACUAUUGGACAAGAUUUGGGAGCACAACGUAAUACUCUGAGCAUUACCUUUUAUCUUUGUCUUUUAUUUUAUAAUGUUUGGGGUACAAUUACCUAAAAGUUAAAGCUUACAUUGCCUAUUCCUUAAAUGGUUAUCACUAUGUUAGUUAUUGUCUUGCUAGCCUUUGUAACCAUAAACAGUAAUAUUUAAACAUGAACUCACAAAGAAUUUUUAGGAAUGUUCUGGAUAUAGUAAACUGUAAAACAACUAUUUAUCCCACUUGAAGUAUAAAGAAUACAACAAUAUGACUCCAAUAAGAAAUUAAUUAAUAAAAGGUGAUGUUUUACCCUCUUACUAUCCAAUUGUCUUUUGGAGCCCUUCCAAAUCUUCAAUGUAAAUCUAAAACUGAAAAUCUACCGUCAAAACAUACAAAAAAGGGAAACGUUAAGUAGUAUAACAAAACAUAUGAGAGUUGUGUGGGAUAAUAAUGCACUCACAGUAUUGAUGAACUCUGUGGUCUGAUGGUUAUGGAUUCUGUCUCCCACAGCAAAAAUAAACACAUAGAAUAUAAAUUAAGAAAAAUACAGCAUAGUGCAAAACUGUAUAAAAGUACACCUUUACUGUAUUAUAUGCACUUACAGAAUUACAAUCUAAACAGGGUUAUCGACCACUCUGAAUGCUAGUUUCUCCGGGGUCUUAAAAAGCACCUAUCUGAUCACAUAUAUUAAUAAAAAGAAGUAAUAUAUGUGAAUAAAAACUCUAUGCUUUUCAUUGGUGGUGGCACAACUUCCUCGGGGAAGCGGUAUAUUUUCUUUAUCUAUGUGAUUGGGUAGCUGCUUUAUGAUCCUAUAAGGAAAACCCUGGGUUUAGAUAACUUGGCAUUCCAUUUACGAUCAGCCACAGACCUCAUGUCUCUCCAGGCUACAACUUCAACUGUGUUUGUUUUUUUUAUUUGUUUAUUUUAUUUUAAUUGAACUGUGGUGACUGCAGUUGAAACAGCAGGGCCAUUUUAAAGAUUUCUAUAGAUAUUCUUCACCAUUAUGCAUAAAAGAGGACAUUUUUUAUUUUAUUUUUUUUUAAAAUUUGACUUCCAAUUUCAGGGUAACCUGUUUCGAUCUGCAGAGAAAAUGGGAUUUCAGUGGCAGAAGUAUGAGGGGAAAGAUCCACGACUUGAAGGAAUGGAUGAUUUAUCUGGAACGGAAAUCCCUUUGCACUAUAUCUUCAAAAUGGCAGCUCACACUAUCCACUUGGUGGUAUUUUAUGAAAGGAGUGGUAACUACCUCUGGCAUGGUCCUUUGAGACUUAAAAGGAAUAUGGACAAGAAAUUUGCACCAUUCCGGAAACUUCAGUUUGGUCGAAAUGCUGGUGCUUACAACAGGUAAAAUGUAGAUCAUUUUUGUUACUUUUGUUUCUGUAUUUCAUUUGUGUCGAGAAUGAAAGGUUUAGUUCCAAAUGGACACCCUUACCUUGAAAAAGUAAACUCUUGUACCCUCUCCUUUUGUGUAUUCUCAGUAAUUUCUGCAUUCACUUUUGUGGAGCAAUUAAUGAACAUGUAUAUGUGUGAUCACAAGUGCUCUUUCGUGCCCUUACAAAGCAAUCGGAAGCCAGCAGUUGACUGAUGGAUCUGGGCCACUUUCCGGUUCAAACAUACAUCACUGUAAGAUAAUUUUUGGUGCAGGCACUCAUACAGAGAUAAGUUUAUAUUGUUUUUCAUUUGGAAUUAUGUUUUGUAAAUGUAGCUAGUACAUUAACAAUGCAUGCUGAAUCCACCCCGCAGUCUUUCUUUUAGUGUUAUCACUGGACAAAAAUAGUAUUAUUGUGGAUAUAGUUUAUUUUGAUUUCAAUUUUUUUAAAAGGUAACUGCCACAAUACCUUACCUUAACCACAGCUCCCAACUCCUCCUGCCAUCUGCAUGGCAUGUUGGACGCCGGUAGCUCAGAUCAUGGCCCUUUUUAUGAUGCGGUGCAUGCACGCCGUCAUAGCUGCAUUGCCACGAAAAUUCUAAUUUUUUAACUCCCCCUAAUGUUUUUGGGGGGCUAGGUUUUAAAGCAAAAGAUGCUACCCUAUAAAUAGAACGCCUUUGGGUUCAGUGCCCUAUUGUGGUUCACCUGUUGUUCCCUCUAGUGCUAUUGACUUUCCUGAUAGUGUUCUCUUGUAUUUUUGACUUGGAUUGUAUUUGGGCUAUUCUGCUUUUUGCUGUCCUGAAUCGGCUCGUUUCCUGACAAGGCUAUUCCUUAUCACUAUACCGAUCUCUGGUUUUCCUAGACAUUGGCUAUUCCUUGACUUUUCUCUUGCUGUCUACAUUAAACCCAGCCAGUCUAAGGUCCAGUAAUAUGUUUUCUCUAUUUUAGGGUUGCAUUCUGUGUGGUUUUGUCACUUUGUUGUGACAGUAACAGGUUAGUUAAGGUAAUAUCUAAAUAUCUACUUGGGGUAGGUACGCAGGUUGGCAGGGCUUUUGUUGUAUGAGUUUUGUGGUGUUUUUUGUUUGUGUGGGGUAUGUGGUUGUUGUUGUUGGUUUUUUUUGGGGGGGGGGGUUUGUGUGUUUUUUGAGUUCACUUAUGUGGACAAUCAUAUUGGGCCUACUAUGGUUGGAAAGUUGAGUGGUUACUUUUAAUACUGGCCAGUUAAAUGACUGUGGGAACUGAUUAGAUGGGUUCCAUAUAUUUAUCUAGUAUAUAUGGGGUCCUGACCAAUAAACCUUUGUAAGACCACUGUGUGUUUGUUUUUUUGUUUUUUGUUCAGGUAUCUAUCUAGUGAAUUCUCUUUUCACUCUUAUGGGGAUUUUUUUAUAUAUUUCAUAUCUUUUCAAUCAUUGUUUCAGAGCUGAAUUACUUUUGAUCACCGCUGAUGGACUGAAGGUGCAAAUUCCUAAAGAACCCGCACAGUUCUUAAAAGAGAUGACUCAUUCAGAGUUUCUUGAGUGCAGAUACAAAGAAGCAAGAGCAUUUUUUCAGGUUAGUCGAAAAAGCAGAACAUUGUUAUGUUUAACCCUUAUAUAACAUAUACAAUGAAGAACAGCUGGGAAUCUACAAAAGAUAAACCACAAAUGGUGUAAUAUUGUUAAAGAAAUCGUGUUUGCAACUAAUAAUACACACACAAGAUCGGUGAGAAGCGCUUCAAGGUGCCUCCCCCAAGAAAACCUAUUCCCAUAGUGGUCGGUGUUGUAUGCAGACUCCAACAGCUCACAGGAAAGAUGGGUGCAGUCAAGGUCCCAUAUAUGGCGGAGAGAAGCAAACAGAAUUCUUGAACGCUAGUACUAAGCAAUCUAAAUUAUGCAAAUCGUAGAUCUCAGUAUAUCAAUAAGAGAUAAUGGGAUAAGUUGGUGGGUAUAGCAGACUUUGACCUCAUGUAACUCCAUGGCCCCUCUCUAACAUCACUACACCUUUUCCCUUGUUUUACUUCCUGCUUGGUAGUGAGUUGAUCUGGGGUUAGUGGUCAAAUUGGUGGUACACUUGUUCUGCAUUGUACACUAUGUGUCAUUAGGCUUUUAGUUGCAGAUAGGUAUUUCAGUUGCUGCUGCUCAUGGAUUUGCCAUCAAUUAAGGUCUGAAAUAAAUGUUUAGAGUUUGAGUUCUAGAGACACAUGUGCAAUCACUGCAGCCUAUUCCUAUUCGAACUUUAGCAUUGUUUUGGUCAUAGGUAAUGUAAAAGCUGCCUUCACGUGUAUUGUCUGUCAUUAUAGCUGUACCCUGAUGACAUCUCCCCAGAAGGUAUAGAGUUCAGGAAGAAAGCAAAAUCCCUGCUGCACCUGACAGCAUUCACACUGGAUACGUUGGGCAUCAGUUUCUGGCUAAGCAGUGGGACAUGUCUAGGUAAUGCCAACAUGCGUAUCUUUCUCCUCCUCUCUGCUGAGUUAUUAUAGAAAGCUUUGCAAAAAAAUAAGUGUGUAAUGCACACACUAAAAAGGGGAGAAUACUUCCUGCAGGGUGCUCCAGAAAGGAGGGCCAAUCCCUGAAGACAUCAAAUGAAAGAAAAAUAAAUAUCCAGGCACAUCUGAGGUUUCUUCUAAAAGGCAAUCUUUUUUUAUUUUAUUAUUUUUUUUUUUUUUACUUUUAUUUUUUUUUUGUGUAGACAGCGGUUCAGCUCCUCUCUGAGCCUUUAUCAAGUCUCAGGUGUGCCUGGAUAUUUCUUUUUCUUUCAUUAUAGAAAGCUUUUAUGAAAGGUAAAUCUUUCCAGGCGUGGUGCAAGACAAAUGGUCUAAGAUACUUUAAGUGGAUCAGUUAGUUUGACUUUAACAUAGCCUGUGGUACAGUACAAUUCUCACAUAUUACUUUAUUGCUGCCUAAUUCUAGCAUUCCCAUCCGCCACCACUGAUAAUGGCUAAUGGGAAAAGGCAUCUUUUAUGCAUUUUUGUAAAGAUAAUACAAACAAAGAUUAAGAACCUGAACAGUUUUGUUUGUGAGUGGCUUCAACAACCUGCCAAGGUUCUCUCUUCUUGGAUGUAUUAAUGGGAGUUUUUCAUAAUGGGUUUGUAGUUGCAUCUAAGAUAGAUUGGUAUGUAAAACAAAAACAGAAAAAAGCCCAGUGGUGGAGUAAAUCUGGAUACUUGGUUAAAAUGAGUGUGGAAAGUCACUUACAUAUAGUAGAGCUUCAGACCAUCUCGGGAAUUCAGGCUUGGACCGAACAAUUCUCACCUUGUGAUAUGUGGGUGCUAUUCCUUAGAGUAUAGGUCCUCAAUAGAGUGUUGUAUUGGAUAUAUAUAAUUGUAAAUGCACUACUACUUCAUACUACACUAUAUAUUGCUCCUGCCGUUUGGUUUAUAUCCAAUACCAACACUCUGUUGAGGACCUAUACUCUCUAAGGAAAAGCACCCACAUAUCACAAGAAGUUGGUGUUAAGCUCUAUUAAAUGUAAGUGACUUUCCUCACUCAUUUUAUCCAAGAAACAAAGCAAAAAUGAAGUCUUGCGCACCCAGUAAUGGUGUGCACACCAAAGUGCUACUGCAAUUUAUUAAGAGGACAUAGUACACAAGAGCAGACGUUUCGGGCACAAGCCCUUUUUCAAUGCUAAUGUCCUAUGGUAUGCAGGAUAUAGAGACAAUAUAUGCAUAUAUACCCCUUUCCGGUUACACUCUGUGCAGAGUGUUUACAUUACCCAAUGUGCCGCCCCCAAACAAAACGAACACCUGUACAGCAAAUCCAAGUCUCUCUGGCAGUUUCAGAAUCUCCCAACACUUCCUGGAUCGGCAAAUGCGUGCGUGAGAAUGUCAGACGUCAUGUACGUCGCAUUUGACAUCAUCAUGUUCUGUUGCUAGGAAACGGAAAGAAACAAACAUCCAACUGUAUACAGUAUCAGAACAUUGUAAAAAUCAUUCAAAUGUUACAGAAAGCUAGCGAAAAUGUAGUACUGUGUAUAUACUGCAAUCUAUUAGACCAAUAUACAUACUACUCAGAAAAAUACACUACAGUGUAUAUAAAGAAGCAAGGUUAGCAGGGAAGACUCAUGAGCUUUUAAAAGCCACCCAGAGGAUGUACCUUAUAGUGUAGUGAAAAGAAACCAAAUCCCAAUACAAGGAAAAGAAAAUAAGAAAAACAAAUUAGAUAAUACAUGAAUCGGACACCCUCUCCAGGGAGUGAGGGUGUACAGCAAGCCAAUAAAGAUAGAACUAUAUAAUGAGAGUAGAGUGGAUGGAAGGAGAGUAGUGAUAGCUACGAUACAAAAUAUAGGAAUACAUACCCCGAUCCAGGAGAGCUAUCUAGGCGGGUACAUACAAAGGAUACACCUACAGGAACCAGUGCCACUCAAGCUUCUCAUAAAGACCAUGAAGGGACACUGUAUCAAGCAGGUGCAUCCAACAAGUUUCUUUUUGUAAUAGUAAUUUUUCCCUAUUGCCUUCUCUAGUGAGUGGAGGAACCCUUUCAAUUACCUGGUAACGUAAUUGGGAGACAUUAUGCCUCUUCCCUCUAAAUUGUCAUGCAACUGGAGCAUCAGAAGUAAGGCUGCAAAUCGUGGUCUUGUCGAGACACACGAUCUUUCAGCGCACGUAUUGUUUUACCCAUGUAUCCCAGAACGCAUGGGCACUUGAGAAAAUACACUAUGAAGUCCGUCUGGCAUGUAAAGAACCCUUUAACCCCUUAAGGACCAAACUUCUGGAAUAAAAGGGAAUCAUGACAUGUCGUGUCCUUAAGGGGUUAAGUCUAAUCUGUUGGCCAGAUAUACUCCACCAUUAGACAUUUUCUGUUUUUGUUUCACAUAUCCAUCUGACGCAUGACUAACAACAUAUUGUGAAAAAACUGUCCUCUCUGGACAUCCCCCCCCCCUUUUUUUUACUGUGGCUUAUAUUAGAGCAAGCAUGCCAAACUUGCGGCCCAGCCAAUCAAGAGCGCCGGGCAAGGGGGCUCAAAAACCACUUGUCAGAUUGACAAGUGAUUUUUGCACGCCUCGGCCUGCACUCCCUUUGCCCCCAGGAAGUGUGUGGCUCCGUAAGUGAACCACAUGCACAGUACACUAGGAGGGGGAGCGCCUCCCCUCCUGCUCUGCGUAGGAGCGCCGGGUGUUUCGUGACUACCCGGCAUUGAAUCUGUCCGCAUGCCGCCAGAGAGUGAGAGGCUCCCCUAUUAGAUAAAAUGGAAGGGCAGAACAGAGCCAGCGCCCAAGGAAAAAAAAAAAGGGAAGGAAGGAGGGACAGAGUGUAACUGGAAAGGGGUAGGAAAGGAGACAUGGAGGGGGGGUAGAUGUUGAUGGGGAGACACAUGGAUGGAAUGUGUUGGGAGAGAGUCAUGGGAGUAGAAAUAUCAAUUGGAUGGGGGCAAGGGAGAUAUGAAUGGAAGGGGGUAGGGAGAUAUGGAUGGGGUAGAGACAUGGAUGGAAUGGAUAGGAAUGGAGACGUGGGGCUACACAUGAAUGGAAGGGGGUGGGAAAUGUGAGGGGGGGAGAUCUAGGGGGAGAGACAUGAAUGGAAGGGGGAGGAAGAUAUGGGAGGGAGAGAGACAUGAAUGGAAGACGGGAGAAGGAGAAAGGGAUGGAAGAGGGGUAGAAGUGGAGUGCGCAGCCACAUGUUAAUCUUCCUGGAGAUUACAAAGGGACUGAGGAAGCAAGCGUACACUCCAGGCAGUGGCCUUACUACUGCGGCCCACAUAAAUUUAAACCUUGCUUAUCUGGCCCUUGCUAGCUUCUGAGUUUGACAUGCUUGUAUUAGAGAAUGCAGAAGUGACAUCUGUUCCUGGCAGAUGAAGCUGCCAGUAGCUGAAUGUUGACCAUGAAGGAAGAUGGUACCUCCAAGAGGGAGAAAAUCAGGUAAGUAUAUUUCUCAUAGAUGCCUCCAUGCAAGAAGACGUGCCACCUUCUACAUUCAAACUGGUGUGCGCUAUUUUUAUAUAUAAUCUGUGUAUUUAUUAAAGAGACACCAUAGGCACGCACACCACUUCAGCUUAUUGAAGUGGUCUGGGUACAGUGAUCCCUUUUGCACUUAGUGCUGCAAUCUUAAACAUUGCAAUUCCAGAGGAACUGCAAUGUUUACAUUUCAGCACUAAGUCUGCCUCUCAGACAUCCACUGAAGGUGCUUUCUGCAUUCAAAUGGACCUUUGGUCCGGUAUCUGAUGCUCUGCAUGAGGACAUCCAUUUUUUUUUUUGUAAUUUAUUUUUUUUCCUGUAGGAACGCAUUGAUUCAAUGCUUUCCUAUGGGGAGGUCUAAUGCGUGACAUUAUUUGCCGCGCAUGCUCAUUAGAGCCCGCUCAAUGUGGGACGGAGGAGGAGGUGGAGCCGUGACCUAGCACUGAGGGACAUCGGUGCAGAGGUAAGGUAAGUAAAUAAUGGGUUUUUAACACUUUAUUGAUCACCGCUGGGGGUUUGCAGAGGAUCCUUAUAGUAUCUCUAUAAGUAUGUUAUAUUAGUUGCUGGCAUAUAAACUGAAAGUACUGACCGUUUUGUUUGUUUUCACUGUUUCAGGUUGGUAUAGGCAGUGUAACAUUAUACCAUACAGCAAGGAUGUGGAUAUUGGUAUACUUAUACAGAACUACAAAUCUGAUAUAAUUCCAUCUUUUCAAAAGACGGGACUCACACUAAAGCACAAAUUUGGAAAGGUUUGUAUUAUAAUACUGCCAAACACCUCUAAAACUAACAUCUGCUGACCAUUACAUUUUUUUCAAAUUUAAGUUCAUUCUAUGAAAUUUCUAUUAAAUUAUGAAGGGUUACAUAACCACGUCCUCCUUUCUUUCCCCUUCAUUCUUCAAAGUCGAGUUCCUAAACAUAGGCAGCUACUUAGUGGAAUAUUAGAAUAUACACUAGAGUUUUUUUUUAUUAUUAUUAUUAUUAUUAUUUUGAUGUCUUAAAACAUGAUAUGUCUGCUGAAAUAGUUUUAUAUAUGUUUUUAUUUAUAUAACCAACAAAUCAAAUUUCGUGUUACAAUACUCCUUUUGUGAGAGUGUGCAUUUGGUUUGAUUUUUAAUUAGAUGCACAGUAUUGUUAUGCAGUAUAUAUUUUGCAUUUACACGUUUUGCAAUAUUUAUUACAUCUUAUAACUAAUUAGGAUCUUUGAUAGAGAGUGAAGAUUCACCUACUGGUCAUUCUACAUUUUGGUUUAUUCACUAGUUUGAUAACUUGUAAAGAGUUCAGAAAGAAACUGCAAAUUUAGAGAACCACUUAAGGCAACCAGACCACUUCAUCAAAAUUUUAGACUGGGUGCAGUGUCCAUUUAGUUUUAACUCUUCUAUCUAAAGCAAGCCGUUUAGUAGAUACAGCAAUGUUAUGAUUGCAAGUUUAACAAACCUCUAACGACUGUCUUCCUGACAGCCAAUGGAGGUGCUUCCCAUGUGAAAACAGUCAAUCUUUAUUCAUAAUCAAAUGCUGCUCAUAGAGAGCAUUUGAUUGGUGCAGUGAUUUUUUGCAUAUGCACACUAGCAUUGGAUUGGCUGGGAUUAUCAAUCUUGAUGAUCUCAGGCUGGGAGGUGGGAUGGCACACUUGUACUACAUUGAGGGAUGUUUAAAGUGGCUGUGUCACUUUUGAACUUUCAUAAAUCAAAUUUUCCCAAAACGUUCUUGUAGACAGUGUUGAAGUUUCUUGGAAAUUCUAGUGGAAUAGAGAUAUACAUGUACAAAAUAGGGACUACUUGCUCUCCUGUAAAUGCCAAUCUGACAAUAGAUGGCGUUCAUUGUCAUUUCACAUUAGCUGGACACAUACAAUGAACAAUAGAUGCCUGUGGCACCUUAUUGCAAACAACUGUCUAUUGAAGAUAUUGUGGCCCAGCAUGAUUUUCCAUAGACCAAGUUCAGUUGUGAUGACCACUCCAGGCAGAUAACGUUUCCAGAAGCCAACAAAGUAUCAAAGGGACAUAAUGCCUUUGCUGAGGAGCGAGACCUGAAUGCAAGUAAAUGAUUUAGGCAAACAAAAUCCCCCACAAAAAUAAUAUAAUACCCUAUAAAGUUCCUAGUUUUUCUAGUGCAAGCAGAAGCAAUAGGCAGACUCUUCCCUGACAAUAGGAUACUAAACCACUCAUCCCAGUGAGCAGGAUUUUUCGUAUACUGUUCAGCAGGAGUUUAUAGAAUGGGUAGUACCAUAACUAUACAUAAUGGCUAUAUCGUGACUGCUAUUCACAGAAGCAGUUUUGUGAAUGGGACUGUGUAUUGUUAUCUGCCAGAUUCACAUGAACGGAUCGGAGUUGUAGGAGUCUGGGUGAUGGUAGGUGCCCAGUCCAGUGUGCACUCAUAAAUUGGAAGGAUCUUUGACAACAAAGGAGGAAAUUAAAUUUACUCAAAUAAUGUCUCUACCCCAUGCCCAUAGGUACAGAAAAUCUAAUAAGCAAAGCUGUGCAGAGAGAUUUGGUCUAAAGUGUAGUGAACACCGUGAUCCCAGUCUCCUUGCACACUUUAGUUUAUAACAGGGAUUACCGGGACCCUUUAAUCCCUAGUGCAGGGUAAAAGUGUCAUGUUGAUUGAGAAAAUUAUCAUAAAAACAAAAGGUUCACUAUGGAAGUUAUCAGUUCUUAUAGUUUGUUGCAAAAUAUAGACUCAACAAAAGUAAACAUGUAAUAAAACGGUCUAUUCUGAAAGAUUUAUGUUUAACUGUGUUGUAAACACAAAUCGCUUAGAAAAUGCCAUGUUGUUGAUCUGAGCUGUCCUAAUAUCAUGGCCCAGUAGGUGGCAGCACUAUUCAACUUUUGUGACCGUUUUUAUUUUUAGGAAACUGAGAUGGCUUUGCAGUUUGCUAAGAAUCAGUGGAAACAUUCCGCAGUAUCAGUAUUUUAAAAAAAAAUUAAAACAAAAAUCUGUUUUGCUUUUUUCUAUAUUUAAUAUUAUUGGUAGUCAUUAAAAAGUGUAAUGAGGUAUGGGUUUUCAGGCAAUUUACUUUAAGCAAGAAAUUAAUAAUUUCUAGGGUUAUUUACUGUGAGAAUGCACAGUGAAUUUAAAAUUUUAGGCCAGAGCAUUUUUCCAAAUGCACUGUUUGGACCUUAAAUUCAAAAUUCGCUUUGAAUAUCCAUCAAAUCUCACUUUAGUAAAUAACCCUGUCAGUCUUCAGCUGUAGGCUUGUUUCCAAUGUUGUUGCAACUUUUGUUUACCAACUAGCAGCUACUCACUAAAGUGCAUGUUGAUACAAUUCGUGAGUAGCGUCUUUUUACUAACUGCAAUAUCACACCACUCAAGGCCGGGUCUUACUGGCUACCACUACUUAAAUCCAGUGACUAAGUAACUGCUAAUGGUUCCUAUCACUGGUUCGUGAGUCUAUUGCUGUUAUUCCUUCAAUCCUCCACUAGGCCUAAUUCCAGAUGUGCUGAAUAUAGUGAAAGUAUUCCCUUUGUGUAGAGUUUCCCCAAUGUAAUGGACGCAACCAGUCAUAUUGGGUAAAAACCGCAAUCUGAGCUUUAUUGGGCCACACUCUGCUUCUUAUGCAGUGCCCCUAGUAUGGGGUUUCUAAUACAAAAUCACAGGGGUUUCAUUCCCAGAAGCCAUUGUGUUUGAGAGAUAAUUGAGCUCCAAUUAAGCUAAUCCAAUUAUCUCCCAAAUAGGAAAACUUACAUACAGUUUUUACAUAUCACAAAAAUAUAUGACAACAGCAUUGGAACCCCACAAAAAUUAUAUUCCCGAAUAGCACCGAUCUAAGUGCACAACUUAUCCAAUAAGAGCUCAGAUCGGUAAAACGAAAGUUAUGUUCGUGCAUAUAUGAACUGGCUUCCUGGUAGAGGUGGUAAUGUCAAUUUCAAAAGGGGUUAAUUUGAUUGUAUGGGAGCUCAAUGAGACAGCCACUAGAGGCUGGAUUAACCAAUUUAUAAACAUAGCAGUUUCUCUGCAACUGCUAUGUUUAUUAAAAAAAAAAAAGGGGGGGGGGUUAAACCUAGCUGGACCAGGCACCCAGACCACCUCAUUAAGCUGAAGUGGUCUGGGUGCCUAUAGUGGUCCUUUACGUAAACAAACUGUGCUGUCACAUCUGGUUCAAAAUUUAUUUUUUGCCAUGUAGGCUGUGAGUCACAGCCAGGGGAGUUGUGGCUAGGGCUGCAUAAACAGGAACAAAAGUGAUCUAACUCCUAAAUGGCAGAGAAUUGAGCAGUAAGACUGCAGACGCAUAAUCUAUACACCAGAACUGCUUUGUUAAACUAAAAUAGUUUUGCUGCUUAGAAUAUCCCUUUGAAGCCUCAAAACUUGCUGGGGCCCUCCUCAUGCAUAUCAUAGGGCCUUGUUAUUACUGUGUUCACAUCAACCAGCGCCUCUUAUUUGAGUUUUACCCAAUGCCUUGCAAACAUAUGGAGUAAUGUCACUUUUUAGGAUGAUUGGGAUGCUGAUUGUGUUAUUAACAAACUAGAAUAACAAUGUGUUGCAGGUGUAAAAGCAGAUAAAAAGGUUAAAAGGAACACUAUAGCGUUAGGAAUACAAAUAAACUCAAAAACUAUACAAACUCACCCCUUCACUCAAACACAAAUACUUCACACAAAUGUAAAUCCACAUUUAAAAGUGAACAUUACAUUCAGACACACCCCUGCAAUCAAACCCAAACAUUUCAUACAAACACACCCCUGUAUUAACCCCUUCAGGACGGGUGACGGACGAGGUCCGUCACACAGGGGAGACCCUUAACGACGGGUGACGGACCUCGUCCGUCACGCGGUAAAAUUAACCCCGGAUCGCCGCUAUCGCGGCGAUCGCGGGGUUAAUGGUGCUCCCGGUAUGCCUCUGCAUUAGCGGCAUACAGGGAGCACCCGGUCAGGCUGCCCAGCACAUGUGCUCGCUCUGACCACAAGUCGGAGCGAGCACAUGUGCUCUGUAUACUCACCUACCGGCUCCCUGCACUUCCGGGUUCUGUGUGAAGUGCAGGGAGCCGGAUCAGUGCUGAUCCUGCCCCCUGCUGUAAAAAAAAAUAAAGUUUAUUUAAAGUCCCCCCCCCCUUACCCAUUUUAAUAAAAAAUUAACCCCUUCCCUGCCAAUUGAUCACUGACUACAGUGAUCAAUUGGCAGGGAUUACAUUUUACUAUGAUCUGAUUUUUUUUUUUAACCCCUGAGGGUUAAUUCUUUUUUUUUUAACCCUCAGGGGUUAAAUUAAUUAAAUUAAUUAAUUAAAUUAUUUUUAAAUUAUAUAUUUAGAUAGCUGGGGUAGGUGGAAGUUAGUGGGGAAUUGGGGGAUUUGACGUUAGGCUAACUAGGGGUUAACGUUAAAAAAAAGUUUUAAAAGAAACUUUAAAAAGUUAAAAAUUAAGCUUAAAAAAAUGUUUUAAUAACAUUUAAGUAAUAAAAACAAAAAAACACACUUUACCUAGUCCAAAUAAAAAUUAACCCCUUCCCUGCCAGUCGAUCACUGCCUACAGCGAUCAAAUAGAGAUCACAGUAUUAUACUGUGAUCUAAUUUUUUUUAACCCCUCAGGAUUAACUUUUAUUUAUUUUUUUUAACCCUCAAGGGUUCAAUUUAUUUAAUUAAUUAAUUUAAAUAUUUUAUAACUAUAUAUUUUGCUAGCUGGGGUGGGUGGGAGUUAUGGGAAAAUGGGGAAUUUACUGUUAGUGCUGCGUACUGCUAGUUAGGGGUUAACAGUAAAAAAAAUAGCUUAGAAAAAUGUUAAAUCUGUAAAAAAGUUUUAAGAAAGUUUAGGAAAGUUUAAAAAAAAUUUAUAAGCAAAACAAAAGUUUAAAAACUAGUUUUUAAAAGUAAAAAAGUUAUAAAAAGUAAAAAAAUACAUUUUAAAAACGCUCAUUACCACUACACCUGGAACAAACUAGAGAAAAAAUUAUCCCAUGCCAAGGUUCAAAAUAUGCCUUUUGAAUUACCCCAGGGUGUAUUCUUUAAUAAAUAGUAUGUGUUUGUGGGGAAGUCUCAAUAACCAACCGUCUAAACUAUUCCAAAUUGGAACAUGGACACAGCGUAAAACUUCAAAGUUAGAAAAAAACUGAAUGGCUGCGUCUCAAAUGCGCCACUUCAACAUCCACAUAUACCUGGCAAAGGUCAUAUGGGGGUAUUGCUGUACUCAGCCGACAUAGCUGAGCAACAUAUGAAGUAUUAUACAGUCAUAGUACACAUAAGGUUUGCAAAAUAUGCUGCGCAAACUCACUUUGUAUGUCAAAAAGGCAGAAAAAAUGCUUAUAACCACUACACUUGGUACAAGCUACGGAAAAAUGAUCCCACGCUAAGGUUCAAAAUAUGCCUUUUGAAAUACCCUGGGAUGUCUUCUUUAAGAAAUGGCAUGCCUUUAUGGAGAAUUUGGAUUAUAUAGCCUGGUAAAAUACUCUAAAAUGGGACAUAGGCACAGCAUAAAAAUUCAAAGUUUGAAAAAAACUGGAAUGGCUGUGUCCCAAAUGUGCCCCUCCGAUGUCCACACAUACCUGGCAAAGGUACAUACGUGGGUAUUGCUGUACUCAGCCGACAUAGCUGAGCAACAUAUGAAGUAUUAUACAGUCGUAGCACACAUAAGGUUUGCAAAAUAUACUGUGCAAACUCACUUUGUAUGUCAAAAAGGCAGAAAAAAUGCUUAUUACCACUACACUUGAUACAAGCUAGCGGAAAAAUGAUCCCACGCUGAGGUUCAAAAUAUGCCUUUUUGAAAUACCCUGGGAUGUCUUCUUUAAGAAAUGGUAUGGCUUUAUGGGGAAUUUGGAUUAUAUAGUCUGGUAAAAUACUCUAAAAUGGGACAUAGGCACAGCAUAAAAAUUCAAAGUUUGAAAAAAACUGGAAUGGCUGUGUCCCAAAUGUGCCCCUCCGAUGUCCACACAUACCUGGCAAAGGUACAUACGGGGGUAUUGCUGUACUCAGCCGACAUAGCUGAGCAACAUUUGAAGUAUUAUACAGUCGUAGCACACAUAAGGUUUGCAAAAUAUACUGUGCAAACUCACUUGUAUGUCAAAAAGGCAGAAAAAACGCUUAUUACCACUACAUCUGGUACAAGCUAGUGGAAAAAUGAUCCCACGCUAAGGUUCAAAAUAUACCUUUUGAAACACCCUGGGGUGUCUACUUUAAGAAAUGGUAGGCCUUUGUGGGGUAGUUUGAAUUUAAAACCCGCGAAGAUGCUUGGAAAUUGCACAUAGGCACAGCGUCAAAAUUCAAAGUUUGGUAAAAACGGAUAUGGCUUGGUCUCCUAUAUGGCACUGUAGCUUCACAAAAUAGUGACAAAGACAUUCAUUGGGGGUGUAUUUUUACUCAAAAGACUUAGCCGAGCAUAAUUUGGGAGGUUUGAACUUAGUGGCACAUAUGAAAUAUACAAAACGCCCAGCAAAAAUGCAAUCCAUAUGUAAAAAAUGCACAAAAUAAUUUUUUUACCACAUACUUUGGCAUAUAUUGGUGAAAAAAUGGGGGUAUGUUAAGGCACAAUAUGCACCUUAUGAGAUACCCUGGAGUGUCUACUUUUACAAAUGGUAGGCCUUUGUGUGGGGUUUUUGAACAGUCAAACUGUUAUAAUACCCCAAAUGGAAGCUAAGGCUCAUUAAAUCCAUCUCUCAAAAUUCUACUGUGAAUACUGUAAAGGACAGGUCUCCUAUAUGGCACUGUAGCUUCACGAAAUAGUGCCAAAGACAUUCAUAUGGGGUGCCAUUUUACUCAGAAGACUUAGCUGAGCAUAAUUUGGGGGGUUUGAACUUAGUGGCACAUAUGAAAUAUACAAAACGCCCAGCAAAAAUGCAAUCCGUAUGUAAAAAAUGCACAAAAUUUUUUUUUACCACAUACUUUGUCAUAUAUUGGUGAAAAAAUGGGGGCAUGUUAAGGCACAAUAUGCACCUUAUAAGAUACCCUGGAGUGUCUACUUUUACAAAUGGUAGGCCUUUGUGGUUUUUUUUUGAACAGUCAAACUGUUAUAAUACCCCAAAUGGAAGCUAAGGCUCAUUAAAUUAAUCUCUCAAAAUUCUACUGUGAAUACUGAAAAGGACAGGUAUCCUGUAUGGCACUGUAACUUCACGAAAUAGUGCAAAAGACAUACAAUGGGGGUGUCAUUUUACUCAGUAGAUGUAACUGAACACAAAAUAAAACUUUGUACAGGAAUAGCACACACCAACUUUACAAAAUAUACACGAGAAUUUCUCUGUUAUAAGUUUGUGUGCCAAAAACCAAAAGAACACAAUUUUACUCCAAUAUUUAGCAGAGGUUGGCGGUGAAAUGGCUACGUAGAAAGUGUCAAAACAAUCUUAGGUAAAUAGCCCGUGAUGUCUACUUUAUAUAAAUAUAUACUUUUGUGUGGCAAUUUUGUUUUCUUUUAUGGCUAUUAAGCUUACAAGACAAACAUACUAAAUUCUAAAAUCGCUCCACAUUAAAAGUUUAUUUUACUCCUUGUGCUUUGUGACCUGUAACUACCAAAAACUUAAAAUCCCAGACACAUUAUAUAUUCUGUAAAUCAGAACAAAUAAAUAAAUUUAUUUUUAAUUACUUUCCUUAACCUGCACUAAUUAUGCACACAUUAUUAUUGCAAAAACUGUAAAAAAAACCAAUAUUUUUCAUUUUUUUGGCAUUUUUCUGUAUUUUUUUAUAAUAAGUAAGCAUUUAUAUAUAUAUAUGUUAUAUCAAAUUAAAGCCCUUUCUGUCCUUUAAAAAACAGUAUAUAAUAUGUGUCGGUGCAAUAAAUGAGAGAGAUGCAAAUUGAAGUUGAACGCAAACAGCAAGAAAAUGCAAAAAUUGCUUGUGUCAUUAAGCGUAAGUCAAGCUUCUGAAGCUGUGUCCUUAAGGGGUUAAGACCGGAGGGCGUACUAUUACACCCUAUUUUAGGCGGCUCUAAAUGCCGCCGGGCGUAAUAGUACACCCUCCGGUCUUUCUUUACUUACCCGGUCGCUGGCGGUCCCACGCCGGCGAUGGCGGUGGGGGGGACUCCCAGGGCGCCCCCCGCGGCACAUCUUCACUCCAGCAGCCCCCCUGGCCAUGUGAGAGUGAGGUCCUUGCGAGGACCCCACAAUCACAUGGCCGAGGGUAGCUGGCUGCAGCAUUGCCAGCAGGGGGACUGCCUGUAAUGACAGGUGGUCCCCCUGCUGGCUGGAAAUAAAGUUAAAUAAAAUUAAUUAAAGUUUAAAAGUGUAAAAAAAAAAAAAAUUAUAUACUUAGAUCAUGUAUAUACACAUACACAUAUACAUACACACACAUACUGUCUAGGUGUAUUUUACUAUUAAAAAAAAAAAAAUAUAUAUAUAUAUAUAUAUAUAUAUAUAAUAUAAAAAUAUCAAAUUACACGUAGACUGAUACUGAUUAAAUAUAUAUAUAAUUAUUGUUAUAUAUAUAUUUAUAUAUAAUAUAAAAAAAAUUAAAUAUGGAAAUACGUUAAAAAAAUAAAUUUUUAAAAAAAAAUAAUUAAAAAAUAUAUAGAUGUUAUUUUGUUGUAACUGUAUUGUGAUAUUAAUAUAUAUAUUUAUAUCAAAAUACACGUAGAACGAAAUAUAUCUAUAUACAUAAAUAUAUAAGUAUAUAUCACUAUAAAUAUAUAUAUAUAUAUAUAUAUAUAUAUAUAUAUUUUCACAUACGUGUGUGUGUAUAUAUAUAUACAUAUACUAAUUCUACAUAUAUAUUUAUGUAAUAUUUUUACUUAAUUAGGUAUUUUAAUUAAUUAAUUACAAUUAGCCGGACCUGCCUGACAACCCAUGCCGAAAGUAAAGGGAAUUUAAUUUGCUAGCACUAUAUUUAACCCUGUAACUUUCCAAGACACCAUAAAACCUGUACAUGGGGGGUACUGUUCUACUCGGGAGACUUCGCUGAACACAAAUAUUAGUGUUUCAAAACAGUAAAAUGUAUUAUAACGAUGAUAUCGCCAGUAAAAGUGAAGUUUUUUGCAUUUUUCACGCACAAACAGCAUUACACGGACAAUAUUAUUGCUGUGAUACUUUUUACUGUUUUGAAACACAAAUAUUUGUGUUCUGGGAAGUCUCCUGAGUACAACAGUACCCCUCAUGUACAGGUUUUAUGGUGUUUUGAAAAGUUACAGCGUCAAAUAUAAGGCUUGUGUUUCAUUUUUUUCACAUUAAAAUUCGCCAGAUUGGGUACGUUGCCUUUGAGACCCUAUGGUUGCCCAAGAAUGAAAAUUACCCCUAUGAUGGCAUACCAUUUGCAAAAGAAGACAACCCAAGGUAUUGCAAACAGGGUAAGCCCAUUCUUUUUCAGUAGCCACUUAGUCACAAACACUGGCCAAAAUUGGCGUUUUUUGCAUUUUUCACACACAAACAAAUACUAACGCCAACUUUGACAUACCUCAUUUGCAAUACCUUGGGUUGUCUACUAUUGCAAAUGGUAUGCCAUUAUGGGUGUAAAUUUCAUUCCUGGGCUACUAUAAAGUCCCAAAGGCAGCGUAACCAAUCUGGCGAAUUUCAAUUUCAAAUGUAACGUGCUAUAUUUGACCCUGUAACUUCCCAAAACGCCAUAAAACCUGUACAUAGGGGGUACUGUUUUACACAUGAGACUUUGCUGAAUACAAAUGUGUAUUUUAUUGCAGUAAAAGCAAACAGUAUUAUGACAUUGACCGUUAAAAUGUCAUGUAGAACUAAAAAAAUAAAAAAAAUCUUUUCUCCCAUUUUUUUCAUAUUAAAUUAUGUUUCAUAGCUAAAUAUUUGAUAUUAAAUGAAAGCCCUGUUUCCCCUGAAUAAAAUGAUAUAUAAUAAGGGUAGGUGCAUUUAAUAUGAAAGAGGUGAAUUACGGUUGGACAGACAUGUAGCGCAAAUGCCAGGUUUUGUUUACAUUUUGUUUUGUUCACAACGUGUACAUUUGGCUCCGUCCUUAAGGGGUUAAAACAUAAUAAAUGUAUACAAACAUCCCUUUAAACACCAACACUGUACAUUACACUAUAGCACCAAUAAAUUCUGCAGCACUGUACAGAUCUACAACCUAAAAAUUGACUUGGGGUGCCUUGGAAAAAUACUGAAAUAUUAAGGACGCCUUGAAUCUAAAAAGUUUGGGAACCACUGUAUUACACAAUACUUUUUAGACCUACAUCGCUGUAUGGAAAUGUAACAAUUAUUUGUAUUCAUUUUUAUGUUCAGGUGGAAGAUAGCUUAGAACUCUCAUUUCUUGGAGAUGACGAUGUGAAACUUGACAUUUUUUUCUUCUAUGAAGAUGAUGAUUAUAUGUGGAAUGGAGGAACCCAAGCUAAGAGUGGGAAGAAAUUUAAGUAUGACUGCUUUGUUUAAUUCAGUUUUGUUUAGUGUGACAGAAUGUAGGCUAAGUUUGACUAAAAUGUUAGACUUCAGACAAGGUAAAACAGUCAAAAAUAAUUGCCAUAUUCAAAAUAAUGAGAUAUGGGUACCUAGCUACAUGUGGGUAUGUGGCUGCUCAUAUGGGGGGGUGGGGAGGAAGGGAGUUUGUGGAGGAGACAUAAGAGCACAGUAAAAGCAGGUAAGCAAUCAUAAAACAAUAUAAAAUAAAAUUAUAUAAAAAUAAGGGAAAGGUAAAAUGCUACAAUCAUUUAAAAUAACAUUUUAAUAAUUCAACGUUAAGAUUAUACAGAUGUUAAAAUAGUGCCUAAUCCUGUGUUAUCAGGUUAAAGUAAUGUUACCACUUGUUUUGUGCUGUAAUUUCCUUUUAAAGUUCAUACAGAGCAGGCCUUUGGUUUUAUUCACUUUCUGUUUAGUUUGCUUAAAUCACAACUUGUGGAACUCCCUGGAAGAACAAAAAUAUAAACUCUUUGUAAUGUCUUAACCCUUUAAGAACUGUGGCGUUCUAUGCCGUCCUUUUUGGGGUGGCUCUAAAUGCUGGCAGGCAGCAUAGAACGUCCCCUUCAUCCUUAUUACUUACCCGAUCGGCGUUGCUUCCAGUCUGGGGGGACUGCCUGACAGUCUAGACAGUCCCCUUCUGCCCCGCGGGCCAUGUGAUCGCUCUGAAAGAGGCAUCCAUAGUGCUGCCUGCACAGGUAGUCUCCCUGCUCCUGUAAAAUAAAAUAAAAUAAUAUAUUGGUAAAUUAAAAAAAAAAAAAAAAAAGAUAUAUAUAUUUAUAUAUAUCUAUAUCUCAUUUCGUUUUAACUGUAUUUUGAUAUGACUAUUCAUAUCAAAAUACACUUAGAAUGAAAUAUUUAUAAAUACAUAAAAAUAAUUUAAAUUUUCAAAUACAUAAUUUUAUAAAUAACUUCAUAAAUACACAUGUAAACUUCAAAUAUAUAAAUAUGCAUAUAUUUAUAAAAUAUUUUUACACAACUAAGUAAUUUUAUUGAUUACAAUUUGAGACCUGCCAGAAAGUCCAGAGAAUUUGCUAGCACUAUAUUUAACCCUGUAACUUUCCAAGACCCUAUAAAACCUGUACAUGGGGGGUACUCUUUUACUCGGGAAACUUUGCUGAACACAAAUAUUAGUGUUUCAAAACCGUUAAACAUAUCACAGUUAAACAGUAAUAUUGUCAGUGAAAGUAACGUUUUUGCAUUUUUUUAAAAAAAUGUAAAUUUUUAUUUUUUUUAACACACAAACGGCGCUUAAACUAAUGAUACAUACGUUUUGAAAUUCCAAUAUUUGUGUUCAGCAAAGUCUCCCGAGUAUAACAUGAAAACCCCAUGUACAUGUUUUAUAUUGUUUUUGAAAGUUACAUGGUAAAAUAUUAGACUUGUUUUACAUUUUUUCACAUUGAAAUUUGCCAGAUUUGUUAUUUUGCCUAUUGAGAGUGUAUCUUUGCAUUUUUUCACAUACAUCUAUAAAGGCUAACUUUGGCCAGUGUAUGUGACUAAGUGACUACUAAAAAAGAAUGAACAUAGCCCAAAUGAAAUACCCUGGGUUGUCUACUUUUGCAAAUGGUAUGCCAUCAUGGGGGUAAUUCUCAUUCCUGGGCUACGAUACAGUCUCAAAGGCAACAUAACCAGUCUGGCAAAUUUAAUGUGUAUAAACUGAAAAAUGAACUGUGCUAUAUUUGCAGUAAAAGCUAACCGUAUUAUGAAAUUUACAGUUAAAAUGCCACGCAGAACAAGAUUUUUUUUUUUUUUUAAAUCUGUUUCUCACACUUUUUUUAUUUUAGAUUUUAUUCAUAAUUAAUUGUUUCAUAUAUAAAUUGUUCAUGUGAAAUGAAAGCCGUGUUUCUCCUGAACAAAAUGAUCUAUAAUAAGUGUGGGUGCACUUAAUAUGAAAAAAGUGAAUUACGGUUGAACAGCCUUAAAGUGCAAAUUCCAGUCUUUAAGUUUUGUUUUGAUCACAACGUGUACAACUGGCUCAGUCCUUAAGGGGUUAAUGUAAUCCCAAUUUGAGGCACAAUAUAAGCACAGUUGUUUACUGAAUUGUCAUUUUGUUUUUAAUUUCAGAUACCUCUUUCCAAAGUUUACACUUUGUUGGACUGAAUUUGUAGAGCUAAAAGUUCAAGUUCCCUGUGAAACACUGAAUUACGUGGAAGCGAACUAUGGAAAGAACUGGGAUGUCCCUUUAAAGAUCUGGGACUGGAAAAGCUCCCCAACCAAUGUUCAGCCAAAUGGCAUUUGGCCUGUGGAUGAGUGGGACAAUGUCAUUCAGCUAUACUGAGGAAGUAAACAUUAGCUGAUCUUCAAUCAUGGCAACUUGUGUAACGUGUUUAGACUAACUUGAUAUUAACCAGUUUAUAAAAUUUCAAAAGUAUUUGGUGCUGUAUUUAUUGCAGAAGAUGCUUAAAAUCGUUAAAAC